Non-coding RNA from Pelobates cultripes (western spadefoot toad), 105 nucleotides. The record is from the annotation of a GenBank genome assembly. Lineage: Eukaryota; Metazoa; Chordata; Amphibia; Anura; Pelobatidae.
AUGUAUGUGUCUGUAUGUGUGUGUCUCUGUAUGUAUGUGUGUGUCUCGGUAUGUGUCUGUAUCAUACAGACACAUACAUACAGAGACGCACAUACAUACAGACUG